GUGAAUCAUCAAAUUUUUGAACGCAAAUUGCACUCUCUUCGGAGAGUAUGCCUGUUUGAGGGUCAGCCUAAGAAAAAUCGACAUCGGUGCUGUUGCGCGGUGUCGCUCUUCGGAAAUUGAGUUAUCUUGAAUCUUUGUUUUAAACGACUUAAAAUUUUCUUUACGAUUCCAUGAACUUUUCCAAGAUUUAUUUCUUUACACGGAUAAGGUAUCUAUUUUAUGAGUCGUGGUCGUCAUAG
RNAcentral lists this unclassified non-coding RNA (239 nucleotides) under Glomeraceae sp. Its description in RNAcentral is "partial contains 5.8S ribosomal RNA and internal transcribed spacer 2". The stretch from base 1 to 65 matches the Rfam family "5.8S ribosomal RNA", at positions 84 to 154 of the family's 154-position model. The record is from RNAcentral. Lineage: Eukaryota; Fungi; Glomeromycota; Glomeromycetes; Glomerales; Glomeraceae.